Non-coding RNA from Puma concolor (puma), 492 nucleotides. The record is from RefSeq and is a predicted model, not a curated record. NCBI's taxonomy places the organism in Eukaryota, Metazoa, Chordata, Mammalia, Carnivora, Felidae.
GCCUUUACAGGCCUGGCCAUGGCCCCAGGCUCUCCCAGUGGGGGCUGACUUUGAGGGGAGAACUCAGCUGCCCUUGUGUUAGCUGAGCUCUGCAACUCACACUGCAGGGGCCGACCUCACCACUCAGCCCGGUCUGAUCCCUGAGCCUUGGCAGGCCACUGGGCUCUGGAAUUAGCUUUUGUUGCCAACAGCCUGGUGUGUGUGAGUCCUGGGCACCCCUGGACAACAGCUGUCUGACUCCCAGAAUUCACAUCUGCGCCCUCAAACACCACGUCCUCCAACUCGCAUAGCGUCUGCAUAUGCCCUGCUCAGGCUGGGUCCAUUGCGCCCUCAAAUAAUUGGCCUGGACACAUGAUGUAUGAACUGUCCAUGACGACUUUGGAGUCUGACCAUGUGUUUCUUCUCCUGGAGCACAUCCUCCCAUGUGUGUGGCACGUGUCACCUCAUCCUUCCCUCCCCACACGUGCUAGCUGGGGAAUCCUCAGGCUGCUU